Daphnia pulicaria is the source of this 474-nucleotide long non-coding RNA. RefSeq lists it as uncharacterized. The record is from RefSeq and is a predicted model, not a curated record. Lineage: Eukaryota; Metazoa; Arthropoda; Branchiopoda; Diplostraca; Daphniidae. The transcript is spliced from 2 exons.
UCGGGGUGGCGGUGUAGUAGCUCGGGGCAGCGUAGGUUGUAGUGUAGUACUUGGGCUCUUCAGUGUUGUAGUAGUCCAAUUAGGGGCCUCGGUGUAGUAGGCAGGGGCAGCAUACGUAGUCUUGUAGUAUUCCAGUGCCUUAGUGGUGUAGUACUUGAGCGCCUCGGUGUAGUACUCAGGCUCUUUGGUAAUGUAGCUCGGGGCGUCGGUGUAGUAGCUUGGGGCAUGACUAGUUCUGGUGUAAACUCUGGAGCCUUGGUGGUGCAACAACCGGUUGUUGCGUAUGUUGUUUUUGUGUAGUAAGACGGCAGCGUUGUGGGGUGAUAUCUGCCAUACCCAGGAGACAUCGGUAAACAAUUGGUCGACCCAGCCAUCAACGAAACAACACGUAACAGCAGCACAACGCCAUAGAUAACUAGACAAAUAAUAAAUUUGAACAUUAAUAUUCAAUAAUAACUGGCAUAUUAACAAAUA